GCUGGGUGCAGUAGCUUACGCCUGUAAUCCCAACACUUUGGGAGGCUGAGGUGGGUGGAUCACCUGAGGUCAGGAGUUCGUGACCAGCCUGACCAACAUGGUGAACCCCCAUCUCUA
Molecule: non-coding RNA, 117 nt
Filed under: Homo sapiens (human)
Lineage: Eukaryota; Metazoa; Chordata; Mammalia; Primates; Hominidae
Source: Rfam by way of RNAcentral